Molecule: transfer RNA, 73 nt
Filed under: Anaerolineales bacterium
Lineage: Bacteria; Bacillati; Chloroflexota; Anaerolineae; Anaerolineales
Also listed under: 1 other name
Description: tRNA-Arg
Rfam family: tRNA
About the family: Transfer RNA (tRNA) molecules are approximately 80 nucleotides in length. Their secondary structure includes four short double-helical elements and three loops (D, anti-codon, and T loops).
Source: RNAcentral
GCGCCCGUAGCUCAAUGGACAGAGUAGCUGGCUUCGAACCAGUUGGUUGGGAGUUCGAGUCUCUCCGGGCGUA